This 412-nucleotide ribosomal RNA is filed under the name Nectophrynoides wendyae (Wendy's forest toad). RNAcentral describes it as "partial 16S ribosomal RNA". It matches the Rfam family "Bacterial large subunit ribosomal RNA", at positions 1857 to 2484 of the family's 2925-position model. Lineage: Eukaryota; Metazoa; Chordata; Amphibia; Anura; Bufonidae. The record is from RNAcentral.
GCCUGCCCAGUGACCAUGUUUAACGGCCGCGGUAUCCUAACCGUGCAAAGGUAGCGUAAUCACUUGUUCUCUAAAUGCGGACUAGUAUGAACGGCAUCACGAAGGUUAUACUGUCUCCUUUUUCUAAUCAAUGAAACUAAUCUUCCCGUGAAGAAGCGGGAAUAAAGCUAUAAGACGAGAAGACCCUAUGGAGCUUUAAACAACAUAGCACAUGCCUUACGAUAAGAAAAUUUCUGAAUCUCUUACCUUCCAAGCAACAUGACUAUAAGUUUUUGGUUGGGGUGACCACGGAGCAAAAUUUAACCUCCAUGACGAAAUAGCUAAGAAUUACCCUUCUAAGCAUAAAACAUUGACACCAAUUGACCCAAGACACUUGAACAACGAACCAAGUUACCCUAGGGAUAACAGCGCA